Long non-coding RNA from Dromaius novaehollandiae (emu), 250 nucleotides. RefSeq lists it as uncharacterized. The record is from RefSeq and is a predicted model, not a curated record. The transcript is spliced from 3 exons. NCBI's taxonomy places the organism in Eukaryota, Metazoa, Chordata, Aves, Casuariiformes, Dromaiidae.
UUCAGUAGGCAGAGCUGAAUAUUUCUAGUUUACAUUGACUCCUGUUUCAGUAAAUGCUCUCACCCAGUGUUGAAAAGGGUGGAGUUCUUUUGGCCAAACAAACCAGACUUUCAGGAGACAGAAAGCUAAAAUGAGAAAGAAAUUUUGCCUGACAAAUUGAUUGUACGCCCUCUAAUUCUUGUGUCCAUGCUAUUCAUGGUUUCAAAGACUAAAUACUAUCAAACCUGGCAUCUCUCAUGUCUCUUUCAAG